UGGAGGUAGUGACAAUAAAUCACAAUGCGGGACUUGUAGUCUUGCAAUUGGAUUGAGAACAACGUACAACUCUUAUCGAUAAGCCAUUGGAGGGCAAGUCUGGUGCCAGCAGCCGCGGUAAUUCCAGCUCCAAUAGCGUAUAUUAACGUUGUUGCAGUUAAAAAGCUCGUAGUUGAAGUGAGGGAGUGUGUGUUGUGAUCGAAUCGAUCGAGAGCAGUACAACCUCCCCCUUCCAAUGGGUGUAUUGGGGUAUUCAUUUACUUCAUUACUCCUUUGGUCGUUUACUGUGAGAAAAUUAGAGUGUUCAAAGCGGGCGUUUGUUUGAAUAGAUUAGCAUGGAAUAAUGAUUGAAGGCUUUCGUGUUCGAUUUGAUUGGUUUGUUCAUGGAAGCAAGGUUAAAAGGAACAGUUGGGGGUAUUCAUAUUCACUAGUUAGAGGUGAAAUUCUCGGAUUUAUGGAAGAUGAACAAGUG
This 472-nucleotide ribosomal RNA is filed under the name Blastocystis sp. subtype 2. RNAcentral describes it as "bacterial SSU rRNA". It matches the Rfam family "Eukaryotic small subunit ribosomal RNA", at positions 459 to 945 of the family's 1831-position model. Lineage: Eukaryota; Bigyra; Opalinata; Blastocystidae. The record is from RNAcentral.